Non-coding RNA from Mycena galericulata, 92 nucleotides. Lineage: Eukaryota; Fungi; Basidiomycota; Agaricomycetes; Agaricales; Mycenaceae. The record is from the annotation of a GenBank genome assembly.
GGCCCAGUGGUGUACUGGUAACACAUCCUCUUUAUCUGCAUAGCAAAAGCACAGGUCAGAGGAAGCCCCCUGUUCGAUUCGGGGCUGGGCCA